This 405-nucleotide ribosomal RNA is filed under the name Alcalus baluensis (Balu oriental frog). RNAcentral describes it as "partial 12S ribosomal RNA". Lineage: Eukaryota; Metazoa; Chordata; Amphibia; Anura; Ceratobatrachidae. The record is from RNAcentral.
CACAUGCAAGUCUCCGCACACCCGUGAGAACGCUAUUCACCCUUCCCCUAAAGAAAAACAGGACAAGAGUGAAAGCUGGUAUUAGGCACAGACCUCUUGCCCAUAACACCUAGUUCCACCACACCCCCAAGGGUUUCAGCAGUGAUUAAUAUUGUCCAUGAGCAUCAGCUUGAAUCAGUUAAAGAGAACAGAGUUGGCCAAUCUGGUGCCAGCUGCCGCGGCUAUACCAGCAAACUCAAAUUAAUAAUAUUCGGCGUUAAGCGUGAUUAAAGUACUACCCAAUUAAGAUUAAACUAGACAACACUGUGAAAACCUGAUCCUAGGAAAACCUUAUACGAAAGAUAUCUUAACAUGCUUGAACUCACGACAGUCCAGACACAAACUGGGAUUAGAUACCCCACUAUG